CCGUGGCCCGGCGGCGCCCGGCGCAGGGGAAAGUUUCUCGGCGCGGCGGCGGCGGCGGCUCCCGUGAGCCCGAGCUCCCCCCCGCCCCCGGGAAGGGCCCGCGCUGCAGCGCCCCCUGCAGCCGCCCGGCCCGAGCUGCCGCAGCCUCGCCGGGUCCGGCUGGGGGGGGCGGCCCCCGGCAGCAUUUCUCCGCUCCAGCCCGGCCAGAGAGGGAGCCCGCGGCUGGGAUGCAGCCUCGCAGGGGUGAGAGGAGCUUUAGAAAGACGCCACCUCCAUCAACCUGAUACUCCGAAGCUGACACAGACCAGCACAAGGCUGAAAUAAAGGGCGGAAAUUGGUGGACACCUGAUGGCCUGAGAGUGCAGGAGGAGAGCGAGAGAAAGAAGAGGGCUCCAACAUUUGACUAGCCACUCGGAUCAAAAAGGGGGGACACUCUUGCAGCAUCAGAGGUAUCCGAAAGAGUGAGAUAGGCGUCACCUAGGACGUGGAACCCGAGGAUUUACCACAGAUCAUCAUCAUGCUCUUUUGCCCGGUCAAACCAUCCCUGAAGUUUCCUAAAGCCUCGUGGGAUAAUUUGCUUGGAGACAUGGGCGGCAGCUUUCGUUGCCACUGAACAUGGCCAAAUGAGGCAUCUCAAGCCGCAGAGGGUGCUGCUAAUGAGAAUGCCAUCAGCUGAUUUAUCCCUUUGACUAGAGGAACUUCUAUGACCCUGUAGCAUGAGUCCACAGAGCAGCUGUCUGUGCCCCUGGAUCUGUUCUCCAAGAGGAAAUGUUUGUAAACUACAUUAAUUUUUCAGGCUCGCCUGAGGAGCCAGUUGGCCUUUUGUUCACUCGUGCAUUACUCAAACCACAAUCAGCCCUAUGACUGAGUGACAGCAACCUCUCUGUCUCUGUUUAAAAGAAACUCCACAUCAAAGGGUAUCCAUCCAAGCCAAGGAAGGCCUUCGUAUAUAUUUGAAAACACAAUAACAUAGGAAUUAUGAAACAUACAGGCUUCAAAGCAGCAACAUCCCUUCCCCUGCCUACGAAACAUCAUGUGACCAAUACAGCUUAACCGUCCCACCAAGAGACUUGAGUGAAUUUGGUGUUGAUGAAACGUGGUGGAUUGACAGCUUUGGGCCAGUUCUGCACUAGAGAUCUGAGCCAUUGGUAAUCUGACUGGUACCAUUGCAUUUAGGGUAAAUUGGCUGAAAUUGGCAACAAGGGGCCAGUUGCCGUGAGGGGUGCGGCUGGUAAAGGUGGAUUGCAAAGUCUCAUUACAGUUGAGAAUGAUUAGAGUAAACUUCAGAGGAUGCACACAGCCACCUCUGAUGUAAGACCUUUUUCAACUGUAUAUUCAUAAUAAGUCUCCCUUAACUCAUGUGUUCAGUUUCUGUUACUUGAAAACGUGGUGUUAAAGUAUAAAUAUUGUAGCCAGUUACUUCAUUCUAUCAUUCAUUUAUUGUGUGUUGUGUGAUGUUAAGUUUACCUAACAUACCAUGUAAUAUAUAAUCAUUGUAUGUUGAAUAGACUGAAGUGGUAGGAUUAUAGGCCUAUAAGAUUGAUCAGUAAUUAGAAGGGAUAAAUAUGUAUUAGGUAUCUAAGUAAAUAGGGCUGAAAUGUGAGGCCUACAGGCUGAGGCCUGUAUGAUUUUAGCUUAGCCAUACUAGGCCUUAGAAUUAAGAAAUGCUUGACAUAAAUGACCAAAAAAUAACCCGAUGCCAUAAGAUUACAGGGGAAAAAUGUACCAAUGGGUGAUAUUGCGAAAAAUUAGCCAUAAGAUUCAUUUUAGAUCACAAAAUGCCCGAGAGGUACCUUUUUUCUAACACAUGCCUUACCCGCAGGAUGCAGGUUGUGCAUCAGUACUAAUGAGAAUAAAAGGAACUACACACAACCUAUGAGAAAUGCGGUACCCCAAUAUUCUUGGAGACACAAUAUGAAUGAGGAAAAAGAGGGUUGACACUUUCACACACAGGCAUAGUCAGAAUCACAUUGAAAAAGAGGGUGCCCAGAUUGGGAAAAUUGAGUUCCCUAUGGGAAAAUUCCAACAGGAACCAUCCCUCUCCUGAUGAUCAAUUAAUGAGAGAUCCAUCAGACCGUAAGACUAUCUAGGAGGAUGUGAGUAUGACUGUAGCUAUAAUUUGUGCGUGGAUAUGUGUAGGAUUUAUCUAUACUUGAAUAGUCAUAACUUUGCUGGUAAUUUAAUAAAAUUUAGAAAGGCUGUUAGACAUUGUUCUUGUGACUGUCUGUGUUGCUUUCCUUGUUCCU
Long non-coding RNA from Caretta caretta (loggerhead turtle), 2246 nucleotides. RefSeq lists it as uncharacterized. Lineage: Eukaryota; Metazoa; Chordata; Testudines; Cheloniidae. The record is from RefSeq and is a predicted model, not a curated record.